Molecule: ribosomal RNA, 281 nt
Filed under: uncultured bacterium
Lineage: Bacteria
Description: partial 16S ribosomal RNA
Rfam family: Bacterial small subunit ribosomal RNA
Source: RNAcentral
GUGCCAGCAUCCGCGGUACUACUUAUUGGGCGAGCGUUGUCCGGAUUUAUUGGGCGUAAAGAGCUCGUAGGCGGUUCAACAAGUCGGUCGUGAAAGUUCAAGGCUCAACCCUGAAAUGUCGAUCGAUACUGUUGUGACUAGGAUACGGUAGAGGUGAGUGGAAUUCCGAGUGUAGCGGUGAAAUGCGUAGAUAUUCGGAGGAACACCAAUUGCGAAGGCAGCUCACUGGCUCGAUACUGACGCUGAGGUGCGAAAGUGUGGGGAGCAAACAGGAUUAGAUA